RNAcentral lists this transfer RNA (53 nucleotides) under Gammarus fossarum. RNAcentral describes it as "tRNA-Ser". Lineage: Eukaryota; Metazoa; Arthropoda; Malacostraca; Amphipoda; Gammaridae. The record is from RNAcentral.
UAAGUGUAAAAAAGACUUCUAAUCUUAACCAAGCUUACUAGCUACACUUAACC